GGACACUUGAACCUUGGGAAAGACUCUUUCCUUGCAAGUCAGAUUUCAUUUCACAGAUUCCUCUCUCUCUAGAACAGAAACCUUGCCCUAACUCAAGUGCUCUGACUUCUCUCUAGGUUUCCAGCCAUUUCCACCGAUUGAAUCCUAAUUUGGUGGUGUUUUCUUGUUCUUGGAGUCAAGAGCUACGAAACCAUCCGAUUGGUUUUGCGUUCCAGCGGGUUAUGUACAGUUUCGCACGGUGUAGGGGUACUGUUAGAGCAUCUGUGAACUGUGUUGAGCAACCCACCAGAGGAGAAUGAGGCCUCAGUGGAGAAUGUCCUGGAGGGGAAUGAGGAAGCAACUUCUUAGUCUCUCUAGGAAUUCCAUAGCUUUCCAUGUAUCUGAACAAUUCCAGUUCUUGUAUUUUGAAGUACUUUAGUAUUCCACGUUUUAAAAUUUCUUCUACAUUCCGGAUUACUGUAAUCCUUAAAUUUUAAUUUCUUAGAACC
This 488-nucleotide small RNA is filed under the name Vigna angularis var. angularis. RNAcentral's name for it is "Non-protein coding transcript". Lineage: Eukaryota; Viridiplantae; Streptophyta; Magnoliopsida; Fabales; Fabaceae. The record is from RNAcentral.